UCAGCUCGUGUCGUGAGAUGUUGGGUUAAGUCCCGUAACGAGCGCAACCCUUGUCCUUAGUUACCAGCACGUAAUGGUGGGCACUCUAAGGAGACUGCCGGUGACAAACCGGAGGAAGGUGGGGAUGACGUCAAGUCAUCAUGGCCCUUACGGCCAGGGCUACACACGUGCUACAAUGGUCGGUACAAAGGGUUGCCAAGCCGCGAGGUGGAGCUAAUCCCAUAAAACCGAUCGUAGUCCGGAUCGCAGUCUGCAACUCGACUGCGUGAAGUCGGAAUCGCUAGUAAUCGCGAAUCAGAAUGUCGCGGUGAAUACGUUCCCGGGCCUUGUACACACCGCCCGUCACACCACGAGAGUUUGUAACACCCGAAGUCGGUGAGGUAACCGUAAG
Molecule: ribosomal RNA, 391 nt
Filed under: Prorocentrum minimum
Lineage: Eukaryota; Dinophyceae; Prorocentrales; Prorocentraceae
Description: partial Bacterial small subunit ribosomal RNA
Rfam family: Bacterial small subunit ribosomal RNA
Source: RNAcentral